Molecule: ribosomal RNA, 312 nt
Filed under: Triticum aestivum (bread wheat)
Lineage: Eukaryota; Viridiplantae; Streptophyta; Magnoliopsida; Poales; Poaceae
Description: partial small subunit ribosomal RNA
Source: RNAcentral
AUGGUGGCUUGUAGGCAGAUGUGUCUCAGACCGAAGUUGUUGCCGCUGGACCGUGGUUACAUGCAUCCUAGAUUGGAGGCAGCGGUGCAGGGAGAUAUGCAUGUGCAAGGAAAAGAAGUGGGCGAAGGUCAAAGAAGCAAUCUAUGCCUCCCUAUCGCUGGGUCCUGCUCCUCAAUAUGUCACCUUAGUCAUGGCUGCCUUAUCCCUCAUGCUGCUGAUUUGAACCUGCCCUACUCCUCUCCUAGGCUACUCGAGGGCUUCAGCGCGUGCCUUGCCGAUGACAGGGAAGGAAGAAUCAGAAGUGACGGCUAG